Molecule: transfer RNA, 77 nt
Filed under: Tannerella sp.
Lineage: Bacteria; Pseudomonadati; Bacteroidota; Bacteroidia; Bacteroidales; Tannerellaceae
Description: tRNA-His
Rfam family: tRNA
About the family: Transfer RNA (tRNA) molecules are approximately 80 nucleotides in length. Their secondary structure includes four short double-helical elements and three loops (D, anti-codon, and T loops).
Source: RNAcentral
GUGUUGAUAGCUCAGUUGGUUAGAGCAUUGGAUUGUGGUUCCAAGGGUCGUGGGUUCGAAUCCCAUUCUACACCCCA